GUAGAGCGGCGCACGGGUGAGUAACGCGUGGGUAAUCUCCCUUGGUGAUCGGGAUAACAGCGGGAAACUGCUGCUAAUACCGGAUAAUCUUCAUGUUUAACUUCAUGGGGUAAAGGUGGCCUCUGCUUGCAAGCUACCACGCCGAGAUGAGCCCGCGUCUCAUUAGCUAGUUGGUAGGGUAAUGGCCUACCAAGGCUACGAUGAGUAGCUGGUCUGAGAGGAUGACCAGUCACACUGGGACUGGAACACGGCCCAGACUCCUACGGGAGGCAGCAGUGGGGAAUAUUGCGGGGUGGGCGAAAGCCUGACGCAGCGACGCCUCGUGAGGGAUGAAGGUCUUCGGAUCGUAAACCUCUGUCAAGAGGGAAGAAACCCUUGGAUUCGAACAGGGUCCUUGGCUGACGGUACCUCAAAAGGAAGCACCGGCUAACUCCGUGCCAGCAGCCGCGGUAAUACGGAGGGUGCAAGCGUUAAUCGGAAU
RNAcentral lists this ribosomal RNA (481 nucleotides) under uncultured Desulfovibrio sp. RNAcentral's name for it is "bacterial SSU rRNA". It matches the Rfam family "Bacterial small subunit ribosomal RNA", at positions 90 to 551 of the family's 1533-position model. Lineage: Bacteria; Pseudomonadati; Thermodesulfobacteriota; Desulfovibrionia; Desulfovibrionales; Desulfovibrionaceae. The record is from RNAcentral.